AAUCAACGCUGGCGGCGUGCCUAACACAUGCAAGUCGAACGCGAAAAGGGCUUCGGCUCUGAGUAGAGUGGCGUCCGGGUGAGUAACGCGUGGGUAAUCUACCUUUGGGUGGGGAAUAACUAGUCGAAAGGCUAGCUAAUACCGCAUAAUGCAAUUUUCUAUUAGGGAAUUGUUAAAGCAGUAAUGUGCCUAAAGAUGAGCCUGCGUCUGAUUAGUUUGUUGGUAGGGUAAUGGCCUACCAAGACUACUAUCAGUAGCUGGUCUGAGAGGACGGCCAGCCACAAUGGCACUGAAACACGGGCCAUACUCCUACGGGAGGCAGCAGUGGGGAAUUUUGCGCAAUGAGCGAAAGCUUGACGCAGCAACGCCGCGUGAAGGAUGAAAUCCUUCGGGAUGUAAACUUCGCAAGUAUGGGAAGAAAAAAUGACGGUACCAUAUGUAAGCCCCG
Molecule: ribosomal RNA, 448 nt
Filed under: uncultured bacterium
Lineage: Bacteria
Description: bacterial SSU rRNA
Rfam family: Bacterial small subunit ribosomal RNA
Source: RNAcentral